RNAcentral lists this ribosomal RNA (292 nucleotides) under uncultured bacterium. Its description in RNAcentral is "partial 16S ribosomal RNA". It matches the Rfam family "Bacterial small subunit ribosomal RNA", at positions 505 to 796 of the family's 1533-position model. The record is from RNAcentral.
GUGCCAGCCGCCGCGGUAAUACAGAGGGUGCGAGCGUUAAUCGGAAUUACUGGGCGUAAAGGGUGCGUAGGUGGAUAUUUAAGUGAGAGGUGAAAUCCCCGGGCUUAACCUGGGAACUGCCUCUUAUACUGGGUAUCUGGAGUGUGGUAGAGGGUAGUGGAAUUUCCGGUGUAGCGGUGAAAUGCGUAGAUAUCGGAAGGAACACCAGUGGCGAAGGCGGCUACCUGGACUAACACUGACACUGAGGCACGAAAGCGUGGGGAGCAAACAGGAUUAGAUACCCUGGUAGUCC